RNAcentral lists this ribosomal RNA (433 nucleotides) under uncultured bacterium. Its description in RNAcentral is "partial 16S ribosomal RNA". It matches the Rfam family "Bacterial small subunit ribosomal RNA", at positions 29 to 507 of the family's 1533-position model. The record is from RNAcentral.
AACGAACGCUGGCGGCAUGCCUAACACAUGCAAGUCGAACGAGGACUUCGGGUCGAGUGGCGAAUGGGUGCGUAACGCGUGGGAACCUGCGCUUAGGUUCGGACUAACUUCCCGAAAGGGGUGCUAAUACCGGAUAAAGUCUUCGGACCACAGAUAUAUCGACUUUGGUUGGGCCCGCGUUGGGUUAGCUAGUUGGUAGGGUAAAAGCCUGCCAAGGCGACGAUGCAUAGCUGGUCUGAGAGGAUGAUCAGCCACACUGGGAAUGAGACACGGCCCAGACUCGUACGGGAGGCAGCAGUGGGGAAUAUUGUACAAUGGGCGAAAGCCUGAUCCAGCAAUGCCGCGUGAGUGAUGAAGGCCUUAGGGUUGUAAAGCUCUUUUACCCGGGAUGAUAAUGACAGUACCUGGAGAAUAAGCUCCGGCUAACUCCGUG